UCCGGGCAUCUGGUACACGUACUUACAUCGCCAGGACUAGGCCGAGCUUUAUAUGUUCCUGGUGGACAUGCUGGAAGGAUAAAACGCUUUGGAUUUUCUUGUCACUAUUAAGAAACAGCAGUUACGGGAAAGGACUUUCCGGAAAAGCGUGAUGCGAGCUGAUCCGGGUGGAAGAGGUCUUGGUUGAUCAUUUGUCGUUAAUGUUCCUCUUCUAGCUGGUAACCCGCGUGGACUAUCAGUAGUCGUGUCUCCUGUUGAUGAUGAUUUUCCGGUACGGUCGGUGUUUGGAAAAGUCCUUCUCCUCGAUGGCAUAUGGCGGAGACCUCCAUUGACGUUAGAUUCUGACA
Mytilus trossulus (common blue mussel) is the source of this 347-nucleotide long non-coding RNA. RefSeq lists it as uncharacterized. Lineage: Eukaryota; Metazoa; Mollusca; Bivalvia; Mytilida; Mytilidae. The transcript is spliced from 3 exons. The record is from RefSeq and is a predicted model, not a curated record.